Felis catus (domestic cat) is the source of this 4713-nucleotide long non-coding RNA. RefSeq lists it as uncharacterized. The record is from RefSeq and is a predicted model, not a curated record. The transcript has 3 exons. Lineage: Eukaryota; Metazoa; Chordata; Mammalia; Carnivora; Felidae.
GGGAGGGUUUGGAGGGGGGGCAGCUUCUGCAGUUGUCACCGCGUCAGCUCUGGGCAUCUGCCAGAGCACCCCUCCAGGCAACUUCUUCCCACAUUCCCCUCUGAUGGACCCCAACUCUCCUCACGCCUGGCCCGUCCAGCGGGGCACAAAGAAAUCCCAGUCUCUCCGUAAACUUUGCGCUUCCAGUUAUGCCGCCCCCUCCCCUGGCCUCCCCCCUCCCCCCUUCCAGCUUCUUGGCAGGAAGGUUAGGCCACUGGCAAAAUCCUCGGCGAGAGGCAGCUGGUCACAAAUGCCAACUGUGUGUCUUGGGGCCAGUUAAGCCCUCUCAUCUGCCCAGGCUCUCUGGAGACCAUUUCAUUGCUCUCAAGGUUCCCAGGAGACCGCUGCGGACGUGGACCAUCCCCCACUCAGCCCGCACCGAUGGGAUGCUGAGCGGCGUCCUAAAAGUGCUCUUUCUCACCUCCACUUCUCAUGGUAGACUGUAAUAAUUCCGAAUUUGGAGACAGGCAGAUCUUUUUUUUUUUUUUUUUUUUUCUUCCCUCAAAUGAAAAAAAGGAGGACCAUUAGCUAGGUGAUUAGCCCUAGGUGGGAAACGAAUCGUCUCAAAUCAGAAUACUAACUUUUUGAGGAAGUCUGUGGAAGUUCUAAAGACCCACCCCAUCCCAUGACCUUUAAUUCUUUUUAGUUCUGCCACAGGGAAGCAGCCAGCGACUAAUAAAAGAUUUGAUCUUGCCAUAAUUUCCCAAGCAGGAAUGGACAAGGAACCCAAUUCUGGACAAAGGGAGAGUUGGUGGAGGCUUUUGGAAGAGAAUGAAGUAACUCUAAUAUUAUACUCAACAGACAAAGAAACAGACAAAAAUCUUCUCCGUGGGGGUUGCUAUGGCUUUGGAAGAAAACCACCUGCAAAGAAAAAUGUAUGAUAGGAAAAGAUGCAUUUCCCACUCCCAUCCUUCCUCAGUUUCUUCCCUCUCCCUGCCUUAAUAUAUAUGUUGAGGAGUUGCAUUAUAAUAAUGGCUCAUAAUACACCUUAAAACGUGAAUUAAUAAAGCAGUUGUUACUGCAGAUACUCAGUUCCUGCACAUAAACCACCUGUGUGUCCCUGUGUUCCAGUAAGACUGCAUCUGAAUGGAAUCUACUAGAGACCAGGCCUAUGCUCUUCCCAUUUCCUACAGAGACAAAUGGAUUUCAGGGGCAGGAAUGGCUAGUUCCUGUUGCCCUGUUGCUCAGUUACUUGGUCCUACACACUUACAUCUGCACAGAUGAAAGUAUUACCAGCAAGGAAACUAAGGUUCAGAAUGGAACAUUAUACUUCUUAAGCUCACAGAGUACUGGAGAAGGUGGAAUUCUAACCAUGCGUUGCCUAGGAAAACUGAUGGAGUUUUCCUUAUGCCAUUAAAGCUUCCCUAAUAGUGGACAAUUAAAAUAUCCGGACACUUACACAAUUGAACAGUGAACUGGACUGAUAAUCAGGCAACCAAGAGUCUAGGUUAGCCUCAUCAACUUGGAGAGCUUUAUUCAUCACUAGCCUCAUUGUUCACAGUGGUAAUCAUUUUUUUCCAAAUUCUAACUUGGAUACCUCUGUCACUGGAAUGUUCAUUUUAAGUACCGUGUUUUAGACUGAGAAUCUCUAAAUGGUAGGAAUUUUGUCUAAAUAUGUGAUUUGCGUAGUACUUACCUACAUAGAAAGACCUUGAAAUUGUUCUUGAUAAUGCUGACAAUUUGUCAAAUUUUAAACGUAUUUUCCUUAUUUCCCUUUUGUCUCUAUUUUAAUAUGUUCUGGAACUCUAUACAGGAAAGACCCAUGCAGUCGUGUCUUUGGAACAAGGUUCAUUGAAUGCUCCAGUCCAGAUGUCUGUAUAAAGAGAAUGAGAACUUUUAUCAUGUCUUUGGCACUUGUGGGAAAUAGAGCCCUAGUUUAAUGUAGUACAGAGUAUAGCUUUAGGAUUUUCAUAAGAUAGAUGUUUAUUAGAAUAUUUGGCAGAAGGAGGUUUGGAAAUAUUUAGGGUCAGUAGAAAAUGCAGUCCAUGACUACAGACUAGGUGGUUUUUAUACAUGCGGCUACAGAAUUUCAUUUAAGGAUUCCCUUGCUAAUUUGAAAUCUGAAUUGCCAAAGACCAACAUAGAUAUGACCAAUAAUAAUUUGUGUUUCAACUAUUUUCUAAAACCAGUUUUUGACUUAACUUUUAAGCUUCCUUUUCCUGUAAAAAAGCUCCUCUGUCACGUUGCCGCACAACAUCCUGUUAACCUAUUUUCCUGAGCUGGCAGGAAAUUGUCCACUACUGAUGUCUGUAAUGGUGAAAUACUUCUUACUGAUCUCAUCCUCUUUGAUCAGAACUUAACCUCAUCAACAUGAACUACUUAGAUGAGACUAUCAGGAAAUAUUGAGUAGGUUCCUAUUUGUUUAAAGGAUGAGGCAAAAAUUUCCGUUCCAAUGAAACAUAACAAAACUCAGACUUUCGUAUUUAAGAUACACUGCAGUGUUUACAUUCUCGCCUUCUCUCAUCAAUCAUCAAUCAGUAAAUACAUGUAUAUUGUGUGUCUGCUGUGUACCUAGCCAUUCUUCUCAGGACUAGCUUUGUUGCUCGGAAAACUAGCCAAAAAAUAGAUCUGGUUACAGUUUAUUUGUUGUCUUACCACAAUGGAUGAAAUGCUACAAAAUAGCAAAUUAAAUUAAAAACAAAUAACUUUAUGAGGGCCAAUCAUUUAUGCCCUAAUGUUGAUCAUUACAGUUACAAUUUUACAUUUCCAUGAACUGGAAACACUGAAAGGAGUAAAAACUAAGGAAAGGGAAAUUAAUUUUGGAUUUUCAACAUCAAGAAGGCAGUGCUAGUUGAGCUACAAGUAGGAUUUCUGUGUACAAAUCACUCAUUAAUUGAUUCGCUCAUUCAUGUAUUCAGUCAAGUAUACUUCCUCAGUAUUUGUAAUGUGUCAUUCUCUUUUAAAGGCUGGAGAUAGAAAGACAAGUUGCAGCCAGAAACAAAAUGACAGUAUUUAGUAACUGUAUUCCGGGGAAGGGAGAUGAUCAUAAGAUGAGAAGAACAAAAUACUGAGCAAAAGGGAGGUUGUGCUAAAUGCUGACUAUUCAGACGUUUGGCCCCAGGCCAACCCUGCUUUCCUUCAUGAUGACACUUUAGUCAGAGUAAACAAAAGCGAGCAUAUAGUUUUGAGCAAAAACAAACUCCUAUCUUUCAACCUUUUACUGACUACUAUUAUUUCUGUGUGUGAGUACUUCUGUAGAUUCAAUAAAACAAUCUGACUGUAAUAAGUUUGUUUGGCAAUAUCUUUGACCUAAACCAUACAUUAUUUUUUCUUUAGUGUAGCUAUGGGUUUAUGGUUCGCUACAUUUUAAAUGACAUGGAAGUGUCACCUUACUCAAGAAAAUAACAAUAUAAAAUAUCAAUACACAGAAAAUGAUGAAGAUAUUGAUUUUAAUUAAAUGAGUGCCUCAAUGAUUUUUUCUCAUUCUCAUUCUUUUCAUAUUUAUUUAAGCAUACUAAGGUUUCAUUUUCAACAAAGCGAAACAAUUUUGCAAUAGAAGACUUUAGAUGAUACCAUAGUUUUCAUAUGGCUAUAACACAGAAAGUAAUCUUUAGGACAACCUUUUUUUAAAACUUAUUUUAGAGAGAGAGUGAGAGCGUUUGGGGGGGGGGGCAGGGAGAGGGCCAGGGGGAGAGAGAAUCUUAAGCAGGCUUCACUCUCAGCAAGGAGCCAACGAGGGGUUCUAUCUGACUGAGCCACACAGGCACCCCAAAACAAUACUUUGUAAAGUUAUAGUCUGCUCACCUCAUUUUUCUUUUUCUGUCAUGGCUAAUUAUUUAUUACAAUACAAAGAAGACAAAAGUAUAUCUUAAACUCAAGGAAAUAGGAAGUAAGAAAAAGAUUUCUUAUAAAUAUUUUUUUUAACGUUUAUUCAUUUUUGGGAGACAGAGACAGAGCACGAGUGGGGGAGGGGCAGAGAGAGAGGGAGACACAGAAUCCAAAGCAGGUUCCAGGCUCUGAGCUGUCAGCACAGAGCCCAACGCAGGGCUCGAACUCACGAACUGUGAGAUCAUGACCUGAGCUGAAGUCAGACGCUCAACCAAGCCACCAGACACCCUAAAGAAAGAUUUCUUGAGAUCACUGCAAUACAACAGUUUGCCAUAAUUAUGCCCAGUAAAGGGUAAAGAAUACAUAUUUGAUUUCUAAUAUAAAUAUCUAGAUCUUGUUCAUGAAGAAACUGAUGAGAACCAUUAGCCACUAUGUAAAUAUGUAACUUAAGAAAUACUUCAGUGGAAAUAUUACUUAUUAAUGGCUUAUUAAGUGUUAUGGGUUGAACUGUGUCUCCUUCAAAUUCAUAUUUUGAAAUCCUAACCUUCAAUAUUUCAGAAUGUGACCUUAUUUGGAGAUAGGAUCUUCACGGAGGUAAUCAAGCUAAAAUGAGGUCAUUAGGAUUGGCAAUAAUCCAAUAUGCCUGGUGCCCUUUUAGAAAAGGGAAAUUUGAAGACAGAGAAGGACACAGGAGAACACCAUGGGAGGAUGAAGACAGAGACAGGAGUGAUGCUCUUUCAAGGCAAAUGAUGCCAGCGAUGUCCAGCAAAAUACUAGAAGCUGGCAAAGAGACAUGGAACAGAUUCAUCCUCACAGUCCUUAGAAGGAACCAAUUCUACUGACGUCUUGACCUUGGAUGUCUGCCCUCUAGAACUGUGAAACAAUAAAUUUCUAUUGUUGAAGCCA